GCCUGGGUGGCGGAAAAGGCAGACGCAAGGGACUUAAAAUCCCUCGGGGAUUUUCCCCAUGCGGGUUCGAUUCCCGCCCCAGGCACUA
This 88-nucleotide transfer RNA is filed under the name Deltaproteobacteria bacterium. Its description in RNAcentral is "tRNA-Leu". It matches the Rfam family "tRNA". Rfam says of the family: Transfer RNA (tRNA) molecules are approximately 80 nucleotides in length. Their secondary structure includes four short double-helical elements and three loops (D, anti-codon, and T loops). The record is from RNAcentral. Lineage: Bacteria; Pseudomonadati; Myxococcota; Myxococcia.